GUGCCAGCAGCCGCGGUAAGACGAACCGUGCGAACGUUAUUCGGAAUCACUGGGCUUAAAGGGUGCGUAGGCUGCGAGGAGGGUGGGGUGUGAAAUCCCUCGGCUUAACCGAGGAAUUGCGCUCCAAACCGCCUUGCUGGAGUGAGACAGAGGUGAGCGGAACUAAUGGUGGAGCGGUGAAAUGCGUUGAUAUCAUUAGGAACACCAGAGGCGAAGGCGGCUCACUGGGUCUCAACUGACGCUGAUGCACGAAAGCUAGGGUAGCGAACGGGAUUAGAUACCCCCGUAGUCC
RNAcentral lists this ribosomal RNA (292 nucleotides) under uncultured bacterium. Its description in RNAcentral is "partial 16S ribosomal RNA". It matches the Rfam family "Bacterial small subunit ribosomal RNA", at positions 505 to 796 of the family's 1533-position model. The record is from RNAcentral.